UACGUAGGGGGCAAGCGUUGUCCGGAAUUAUUGGGCGUAAAGGGCGCGUAGGCGGUUUCUUAAGUCUGAUGUGGAAGCCCACAGCUUAACUGUGGAGGGUCAUUGGAAACUGGGGAACUUGAGUGCAGAAGAGGAGAGUGGAAUUCCACGUGUAGCGGUGAAAUGCGUAGAUAUGUGGAGGAACACCAGUGGCGAAGGCGACUCUCUGGUCUGUAACUGACGCUGAGGCGCGAAAGCGUGGGGAGCGAAC
RNAcentral lists this ribosomal RNA (250 nucleotides) under uncultured prokaryote. RNAcentral describes it as "partial 16S ribosomal RNA". It matches the Rfam family "Bacterial small subunit ribosomal RNA", at positions 524 to 773 of the family's 1533-position model. The record is from RNAcentral.